AUGAUAUGGGGGAUGCAUGAGCUCGGAUUCUUCUUUAAACACACACACAGCUUGCAGAGCCAGCCUAGUGUCAGCUGCAAACAUCAAAGACGGCACUCGAGUCAGAGAUGUGGCCUAGCUGGAAACGGUACUCCAGGUGCAUUCAGCCAUGGUGUGUAUGAAGGAGAUGCAAGUUCAUUUCUUGUUCUGAUGUAAAGCCCUAAACAUUUUUUGAGUCCUCUUUUAAAUGUCUGUCGAUGAAAAAGCAAAAUGAAUAAAUAAAUAAAAUAAAUGAAUAAAUAAAUAAAUAAUGUAACCAAAUAUGACAAACAAUAAUUUAAAAUGACGUAAUCACAAACCAUUUCAAUAAAUGCUUGAAUUUCUAUAUAAAAAUAUAAAUAUAGGCCUUAUUUCAAAUGUAAUUUUGCCCCUACUAAAAUGACCAAAAGUUAGUGUACCUCCUAGUGUACAACCAAGCGGAUGAAGUACACUAGCUGCACAACAUUGUUUGAAAAUAAGUAUAGAUGAAUCAUGUGAUGACUGUAGAAAAUAUAGAGAAAUCAAGGAAAAUAUUCUUUGUGAACAGAAUAUUUUUAUUGUGUGUCAUUCCCAUUCAAGCUGCAAUUUUGUUUAGGGCUGCAACUAAUGAUUGUUUUAAUUGAUUGAUUAAUCUGUUGAUUAUUUAUUAGAUUAAAGAACGUGUAAACAUUAUAGUUUUAAUUAAUUAAAUGAAUAUAAUCCAUUAUUUUAAAAAAAUAAAUAAGAAUAAUCUUUUCACAUUCUGCCCAAUGUUGUCCUCCAAACAAUGUGCAAUUUGAAAGACAAUGAAAACAAAUAUAGUGAACGUAUCGAAAAUAUGUAGGCAUUGUGAAGUUAAUGGUUACUUGCAAAACAGGGUUAAAAUUAAAAUUGGUUGUUUACCAUUUCAUUGUUUAUUAUGAAAAAUAAAGAAAAAGGCAUUUUCUUAUCUGAACAUAUUACAUUCUAACUAACAAAAAUUACAUUUCUUGUUGCAUGUAAAAUUUUAAACUUACAUUGAAUGUAUAAUAAGAUACAGUUUAACAGAGACAUGUUUGCUGUCUGGAGGAGCCUCAAUACUUGAGUGACUUUUUAAUAUUUACAGAUAAAGACAACCUUAAAAUAUGUCAUAUGCUGAGUAAAGCAUUCAUCAAACACAUUAAACAGCACAUGUGUCUAUCAAAGCACAUAACAAGCGGCGUUAAACUACAUGCUUUUGUUUAAAGUGUUUAAGACCGGGCAUACACUGUGCAAUUUUUGUCCAAUUUUGAGCUGAUUUCUGAGUCUUACAACUCUUUUGAGCCGGGCCGAAUUUCAGCUUUGUCAUAGGUCUUUUGACUUGCAGUGUACAGGGGGAAGUGAUUAGCCUCUCCCGACCGGCAAUCGGAUGGUCCGAUGAAUUUCUGGAAUGUCCAAAAUUUUGGGUCACCCCUCUUGAAGGUAUCACAAAGUUGAAGCUUUGUGGAAGAUUUUUUUCCUGUCACGGAUCUGCAGGAAAUGGGACCCAAAUGCAGAAUGAGCAGACAAGGGUAUUUUAUUAACAAAACAGACUGGAACAGCUGGAGGAAUUUGCAGUGAAACAGUUCAAACAGAGGGGCAGGGCAGACAACAAUACAGGCAGGAGGGAUGACCACAGAGACAAUCCGAUAUGACCACGGGCUCAAGCACAGAGGAGGCAGCUCAAGAGGAAGGACCAGGCAGACACACAGGAAACCCGUAGCUUUAAGUAAAAAUAAUGUCACCAGUCUAGCCGCCAGGUAGGGGCUCACGGGACCAGAGUCUUGACACGUGAGAGAGGUGAGCUGCUUCCAAGCAGUGGGGUUCAGUGGCCAGGGAUUCUGAGAUAGGGUAAGACAGGACAAACAAAAACAAGACGAGACUCAAAAUGCCACAACAAUAAGACAAUUGAAAACAAUAAGAACCAUGCAAAAGAAAUAACCAAAGCUACCCAAAGAUAUAAUCAAAGAGUAAAAACAAAAAGCCAAGAUCCAAAACUGGAAUCACUUAAACAAGAGUAGAUGAAAAUCUAAAUCAAAUGAGAAACAAAACUAGAUUAGAAUGCACAACAAAUUUAUUUUUCUUUCCAUUCUUUUUAAACUAGACAAAACUAAAGACCAAAAAGAAUAUAAAUAUCUAGAUAAGAGAUCAAAAAAAUAAUGAUCACGAUCAAAGGGAUAAAUUCUGGGCCAAGAGACAGGUAAACACCAAAAACGAACCAGCAGAGACACAAGGAAAGGAAACCCAAUAUAUAGAGCGGCACACAUGAGGAUCAGGUGAAAACAAUCAAGCAGACAAGGGCUAAACAAGGGGGCGUGACCAAGGGAAACAAGGAGGUGGGAUGAGAGGAGCAUGUGGCAGACACAAACAGAGACAGAACCAUGUGCUUAGACAAAACAAACAGUGAAACAUUGAACAAAGACAAGACUGUCAGGGCAGGUUCCUGUUAUUUCUCUUACUGUGCCUGCGUGAAAACAGAAGCAAAACCAUGCUGACAUGGCGUGUGGUUUGGAUGGAAGCGAUAGAGGCUACUCAGUUCCGGGUUGAUGCAUGCAUUCAGAAUGCACUGUUGGACACUAUUAGUUGAC
Cyprinus carpio carpio is the source of this 2582-nucleotide long non-coding RNA. Lineage: Eukaryota; Metazoa; Chordata; Actinopteri; Cypriniformes; Cyprinidae. The record is from Ensembl.